Molecule: transfer RNA, 61 nt
Filed under: Saldula arsenjevi
Lineage: Eukaryota; Metazoa; Arthropoda; Insecta; Hemiptera; Saldidae
Description: tRNA-Ala
Source: RNAcentral
GGGGAUGUAGUUAACAAUAACAUUUAAUUUGCAAUUAAAAAGUACUAAUAAGUCUUCCUCA